Molecule: ribosomal RNA, 499 nt
Filed under: uncultured bacterium
Lineage: Bacteria
Description: bacterial SSU rRNA
Rfam family: Bacterial small subunit ribosomal RNA
Source: RNAcentral
AACGAACGUUAGCGGCGCGCCUAAACACAUGCAAGUCGCACGAGAAAGGGCUUCGGCCCCGGUACAGUGGCGCACGGGUGAGUAACACGUGGGUAAUUUUCCUUCGAGUGGGGGAUAACGUUCCGAAAGGGACGCUAAUACCGCAUAAGACCACGACCUCGAAAGAGGAUGUGGUCAAAGCAGGCCUCUAUACAUAAGCUUGCGCUUGAAGAUAAGCCCGCGGCCCAUCAGCUAGUUGGUAGGGUAAUGGCCUACCAAGGCGAAGACGGGUAGCUGGUCUGAGAGGAUGAUCAGCCACACUGGAACUGAGACACGGUCCAGACUCCUACGGGAGGCAGCAGUGGGGAAUCUUGCGCAAUGGGCGAAAGCCUGACGCAGCGACGCCGCGUGAGUGAUGAAGGCCUUCGGUUGUAAGCACUUUUGUAGUAGGAGUGAGGAAGGACGGUACGUCUCACGAAUAAGUACUCGGCUAACUAACGUGCCACGCAGCCGCGGUAAU